GGUGGAUGCGUUUGGGUUGUAGCUAGGCUUUUUCUUUUCUUUCUCUUUUAAAACACAUCUAGACAAGGAAAAAACAAGCCUCGGAUCUGAUUUUUCACUCCUCGUUCUUGUGCUUGGUUCUUACUGUGUUUGUGUAUUUUAAAGGCGAGAAGACGAGGGGAACAAAACCAGCUGGAUCCAUCCAUCACCGUGGGUGGUUUUAAUUUUUCGUUUUUCUCGUUAUUUUUUUUUAAACAACCACUCUUCACAAUGAACAAACUGUAUAUCGGAAACCUCAGCGAGAACGCCGCCCCCUCGGACCUAGAAAGUAUCUUCAAGGACGCCAAGAUCCCGGUGUCGGGACCCUUCCUGGUGAAGACUGGCUACGCGUUCGUGGACUGCCCGGACGAGAGCUGGGCCCUCAAGGCCAUCGAGGCGCUUUCAGGUAAAAUAGAACUGCACGGGAAACCCAUAGAAGUUGAGCACUCGGUCCCAAAAAGGCAAAGGAUUCGGAAACUUCAGAUACGAAAUAUCCCGCCUCAUUUACAGUGGGAGGAAAUGGGGCAGCCUUGAGGUCAGACUUGGAAUUAUGUCCUAGCUCCACUACUUUCUCAUUGUGUGAUCUAGUUAUGGGAUCUCUGAACAGACAGGGACCUACGGAUGCGGUGAUGCCGACUGACGGAGAGGGACCUGCUGAUGCGGUGAUGCCAACUGACGGACGGGACCUGCGGAUGCAGUGAUGCCGACUGACGGAGGGGGACCUGCGGAUGCGGUGAUGCCGACUGAUGGAGGGGGACCUGGCGAUGCGGUGAUGCCGACUGAUGGACGAGACCUGCGGAUGCGGUGAAGCCGAUGAACGGGGACCUGCGGAUGUGGUGAUGCUGACUGACGUACAGGGACUUGGUGAUGCGGUGAUGCCGACUGAUGGGUAGGGACCUGGUGAUGCGUUGAUGCCGACUGACGGACGGGACCUGGUGUUGCAGUGAAGCCGACUGACGGACGGGACAUGCUGAUGUGGUGAAGCUGACUGACAGACGGGACCUGGUAAUGCAGUGAAGCCGACUGACGGACGGGACCUGCUGAUGUGGUGAAGCCGACUGACAGAUGGGGACCUGCGGGUGGGGUGAUGCUGACUGACGGACGGGACCUGGUGAUGCGGUGAUACCAACUGAAGGACGGGACCUGCAGAUGCAGUGAUGCUGACUGACGGAUGGGGACCUACGGAUGCGGUGAUGCUGACUGACGGAGAGGGACUUGCAGAUGUGGUGAUGCCGACUGAUGGACAGGGACCUGCGGAUGUGGGGAUGCCGACUGACGGACAGGGCCUGCUGAUGUCGACUGAUGGACGGGACCUGUGGGUGUGGGGAUGCCGACUGACAGACAGGCAAGAGCAUGUCAUCUCUAUCCCGACUCCUGCUUUCUAGUACCGCUCUGGUGCCUUCUAUUGGCAGAAACUAACAGGUAACAGCUGGCAAAGGAGAGAUUAGAGUCCAGAGUCCUAGACCCGGCAUCACAAAGCUGAGAAGUAUAUUUGGAACUGAGAGCUUAUUUUUCUUCGUUUGCCCUAAUGCCUCAUAUACCCUGUCAGUCUGAUGGAACUGAGAGCUUAAUAUCAAGGCAAACCUCUAACCUUGAAGUAAGACAACCUCCUGCCCCAAUUCUAGGAGUCAUCUUGUAAGCCAGAUUCUGUGAAGUCACUGAAGAGGUGACAGAAUCUGGGACCACAGCAGAAACGCUUGUGACGUUUGGUGUUUUGUAAGCUCUAUAGCUGGAGUGUUACCUUUCUGUUACUGUUAGAUCUUUAUUAUUUAUGUUAUCUGUAUUCCACCAUGUACUACUAAAUGAUCAGAAGGGGAUUCCUCAAGUUCUCUGGACCGCAUAUCUUACAUGCUGUGUCAAGCAGCUUUAAACAGUUUCUAACCACUUAGUUUUAGAUGAUGAUAAAGCACUUAUGGGUGGGCACUGGAUUCUGCUAAAUGUUUAUGGCAGAUGAAGAUACUGGGAGACUUUUUUUUUUUUUUUUGAAACAGAGUCUUGCUCUGUCACCCAGGCUGGAGUGCAGUGGCACAAUCUCGGCUCACUGCAGCCUCUGCCUCCUGGGUUCAAGUGAUUCUCCUGCUUCAGCCUCCUGAGUGGCUGGGACUACAGGUGCGCGCCACCACACCCAGCUAAUUUUUUGUAUUUUUAGUAGAGACGGGGUUUCAUUGUUAGCCGGGAUGGUUUCAAUCUCUUAACCUUGUGAUCUGCCCGCCUUGGCCUCCCACAGUGCUGGGAUUACAGACUAACUUUCUGAAGGACUCACUGCUAGAGAAUUAGGUAGGUUUGUUUUCUCCCAAAUAUAUGGAAUAUAGCAAAGAAAUAAGGGAAAAUGGUUUCUCAUCCAUCCUGUUUUGCCUGAGGUACCUGAAGAGUAGACUCAGUGUGACCAGACUGGAAGGAUUCCUCCACAGAAACAGUCCCAGCAGACAACGAUGUGAAUGUUCAGAUGCCACAAGGGAGGUGUACAUGAGGAGGAGGAUUUGAGAGCCCUUCCUUAAAUGGAUAAGGGUAGGGCUUUGGGAGAAAGCCUUAGUGGAGUACUUGACAUUAAACACCUUUAGAUAUUUUUUCUUUUGCCUACUCAAUUUCUCAAGUGGGCUCCAUUUUCUAAAUUUAAAGAAUGUCUUUUUGUUGUUGUUUUGUUUUUGAGACGGAGUCUUGCUCUUUCAUCGAGGCUGGAGUGCAGUGAUGCAACGACCUCGGCUCACUGCAACCUUCGCCUCCUGGGUCCAAGCAAUUCUCCUGCCUCAGCCUCCUGAGUAGCUGGGAUUACAGGUGCCUGCCACCACACCCUGCUGAGUUUUGUAUUUUUAGUAGAGACAGGGCUACACCAUGUUGACCAGGCUGGUCUCGAACUCCUGACCUCAAGUGAUCUGUCCAUCUCAGC
This 2905-nucleotide small RNA is filed under the name Pan troglodytes (chimpanzee). RNAcentral's name for it is "retained intron". The record is from RNAcentral. Lineage: Eukaryota; Metazoa; Chordata; Mammalia; Primates; Hominidae.